GAAUUCUAAAACAAUUUGCAGAAAUGAAACUCUUGGCAUUAGUAAUGGGUCUGUGUCUCAUAUGCAGCGUUUAUUCCACACGGCAUCGCGGUAGAUUUGAUCCACCGGGGACCCUUCCCGAACUCCCGAAUGUCUGGGGGUAAAAUUUAAAGUACGAAAUAAAUUUGAUAGAAGUGCUGUUUUUCUAUACAUAAAGCGUGUAAUAAACAUAUGGAUAAUUUCAUGGCGGAAUUUGUGAAACUCUUUACAUUGAAUAUAACAUAAACUGAAACAAUUUUGAAAAUAAGAAA
This is a long non-coding RNA of Drosophila sulfurigaster albostrigata, 290 nucleotides long. RefSeq lists it as uncharacterized. The transcript is spliced from 2 exons. Lineage: Eukaryota; Metazoa; Arthropoda; Insecta; Diptera; Drosophilidae. The record is from RefSeq and is a predicted model, not a curated record.